UUCCUCCGGAUGCAGGUGGUGAGUGAGGCCACCUGUCAGAUCCUCUGGUGAAAGAACCGCCCCAGUCAAUCAGAAGCCCAAGAAUGAUGUCAUCGCCACCUUCUGCUGGGGUUCCACAUCUGGCUGGUUACCAUGGCGAGCAAUUGCUCAGAGGACAGCCCAAAGAGAAACACUGUAAGGAUGGAAAGUCUAGGCCAGCAGGCCCAGGGGAGAGGCGUGGGAAUCCCAGGGCUCGGCCCCAGAAACCACUGAGACCCAGGCCCCUCCUACACACACUGCAUCUGUCCCACCCCUAGGGCAGCCCCGGAGCAGCUGAGGAGCCACAGAUAGCACGCCAGGACCUGGGCAAGAGAAGCCGUUCUCGAUGGGCGCCUCUCCACCUCUGCCCUGUGCUGCUGUCCUUAGAGCGCUGGCCCUGAUCCGCCUGCCUGUACCCUUGCCAGGGAUCCACAAGUCACCUAAGGGGAAAUGACACGGUGCUGAGUGUUCCCUGUCAGAGGCUGCCAGCCCAGUGGAUCAUCACGAGAAACUACACACGCAAGUCCGCAGUCACCCCUGGCCACAAAAACACCCGACUGUGAAGGGAGUUGAAGAGUCACACUGGAGAGGUUUGAAGACAGAGGCCACGUCGGGGCAGGCCCUGGAAACGUGUUUUCAGGGGGUUCUGCCAUGGCCGGCGUGUGGGUUACUGAGCCGUGUUACGCAGUCUCUGGAAGGCCUGGCCCCACGCAGUCCCAGUGCCAGGACUGUCGCUUGGACAGCGCGCUCCCUCGUGGUCCCCUUCUGCCCACGUGGAGCAGCAGUGGCUCUCAAGAGGCCAUCCAGCCCAGGGUUCAAAAGCCCCGUCAUUUCAGCUUCAGCAACAACCUCAGUCGGUCUGGACCCUGCUUGUGUCCGUCUCCUGCCCAUCUCCACCUCCCGGAGGACCCUCCAGCCACAGAGAAGCACCCUCGCACUUCCCAGAUGGGCCCUCCUUCCGCCCGCAGGUCUUUCUUCCCCAUCGCCCCCUCUGUCCACGUCAGGGCUGUGUUAAAGCCACUGACAUGUCACUGGAAAUGCACGGAGUUGGGAAAAUUGCAUGGACUAGAGCUUCUCUUGGGGAGAACACUGCAUGUGGUUCAAAGGAAGUCUUGGACAAGACACUCAGAGAGGAGUACUCAUCCCAGUGCUCAGCCCAAAGUGUGUCCCCUGGAGUGUUCGUGAUGGCCGCAGGGGCUCUUAACCUGAGUCAGCAGAGGACACCUCAUUACGCCCACACACGGCCUGAGGUGCACGUACUUAGAGACCCUAUUUCCAGAUAAGGUCACGUUCCCAGGAACCAGAGAUGAGGACUUGGACAUUGGCCAUUUACUGAGGACCUUCUAUGUUCCAGAGAAGGCCAGGCCUGCCACUGGGAAGAAGUGGGAGUAGCUGGCUAUCUGGAGCUCCAGCUGUGACGUGAGCCCAAGGUGGGACGGGCCACAGUCCGAGGCUGGGCCUGCUGCUGCCCUCCCUCUCCUCGUCCUGAGCCCCCAAAGAGCAGGGUGGAGCCCCAAUGGAAGUGACACCAUUGAGAAUAGAAGACUAUCCCCAUCUUCAAUUGGGGGUAGAAGUUUGGACAGAGCAGGACGUGCUUUGGGAGAGAAGCGAUGUCAUCGAACUCCAGCAACUAUUUGGUGAAACCCCAGAUGGAUGCUGCCUUCUAGAUCAGAGAUCUAAAACCUUCAUGUGUAUAUGCAUCACCUGGAGGGCCUGUCAAACCACGGAGUCCUGGGCCUGAGCCCGGAGCUUCUGAUUCGGCAGGUCUGGGGUGGGGCCUGAGGUUCUGCGUCUCUCAGAUGCUGGCUGCGGUGCUGACACUGCUGACCCCCCAACCAUGCUGAGGAGCACCGUCUACGUCUUUGUCACUGAGAGCACGGCGCUCGGCCCAGCAGCAAAACACUGCUGGGGAGCGCUUGUUGGAGAUGUAGAAGAUGCCCCUCCUCCAGCUCUGAAUCAGAGUCUGCAUUUUGACCAGAUCCCCGGCGAUUCCCAGGCUCAUUCACCUUCACUGGGCAGUGCAGCAGCACUGUCCGUUAGGACUUUCUGUGACGAUGGGAAUGUUCCAUGCUGGCACUGUCCAAUACACUAGUUACCAGCCACGGGUGACGGUUGAGCAUUGGAAAUAUGGCUAGUGUGACUGGGCAGCUGAAUUUUUUAAAUUCUAUUUAGCUUUAACUAAUUUAAAUAGCCUCAUGUGGCUAGUGGCUUCCGUCUGUCAGCACAGGUCCAGAGUAACCCAGCCCAGAGGGCCCGUAGAGAUUGUCAGUGUGCAGUUGGGGAAAAGGUUCAGAGAGGGAUCAGAACCUGCCUGAGGUCCCUCACUGAGUCAGU
This 2352-nucleotide long non-coding RNA is filed under the name Equus caballus (horse). RNAcentral's name for it is "lncRNA (ENSECAG00000056511.1)". Lineage: Eukaryota; Metazoa; Chordata; Mammalia; Perissodactyla; Equidae. The record is from RNAcentral.